Molecule: ribosomal RNA, 415 nt
Filed under: uncultured prokaryote
Description: bacterial SSU rRNA
Rfam family: Bacterial small subunit ribosomal RNA
Source: RNAcentral
UGAGGAAUUUUGCGCAAUGGGGGAAACCCUGACGCAGCAACGCCGCGUGAGUGAAGAAGGCCUUCGGGUCGUAAAGCCCUGUCGGGCGGGAAGAACGUCCCUUCGGGGAAUGACGGUACCGCCAGAGGAAGCACCGGCUAACUCCGUGCCAGCAGCCGCGGUAAUACGGAGGGUGCAAGCGUUAUUCGGAAUUACUGGGCGUAAAGGGCGUGCAGGCGGGAGAGCAAGUCUGAUGUGAAAGCCCGGGGCUUAACCCCGGAAGGGCAUUGGAAACUGCUUUUCUUGAGUUCUGGAGAGGAAGGGAGAAUUCCCGGUGUAGAGGUGAGAUUCGUAGAGAUCGGGAGGAAUAUCAGUGGCGAAGGCGCCCAUCUGGACGGUAACUGACGCUGAGACGCGAAAGCGUGGGGAGCAAACA